UACUUCUAAUUGCAAGCAAUUUUCCUCUGUAAAGGCCAAUUAAAAAAAAAAAAAAAAAAAAAACAGAAAACAAACACCUUUAACCAACUGACAUCCUUGCUAAGCUUUUAGGAGCAGACAUAUCUCACUCUUCCGUUUCCCCUAUGAAAAAGGCGAGGCUGACCUCAAAUGGGAUCCCUUCUAUGGUAUGUGUUCAUAAGGUAAAAUAUGUGGAAUGAAAGCAUUUUUCUUUGCCUGUCCUUUAUGUAUCAAGGCAAAAUUUAAUACAGUUCCAACUUAUACUUUCCAGUGUUUGAGUAUGUCCAAAAUUAACAUUAAAAUACACUCGCUCAUUCCCAGGAUCUUCAGCUUUAGUGCGCGCCUUUCAGCAAGUGUGUGGAUGGUGGAUGUACUUCACUUGCAGCAGCCCUAGAAGGCGGCCCCUGGAACUGGCCAGUACAGCUAGAGACAUCGGAGCGCUGCGUGCCUGGUCCAGAGGCAGAACCCUUGUCAUCCUUCUCAUUUCUGUACCAAUUCCUUAGCACAUUUUUGGUGCUACGCCUUUCCUUGAAGCCCAGGCACUACCAAAGAGGUUUUAAGAAAGAAAGACUGAGCCACCUGGGGAGGCGGGCGUCCAUCUGGAAACCUAGUUAACAGCUGGUGCUGGUAGCGAAACAGCAGGCUGUCCAGGGGAAACCCGGCUUUGGGCUGCACCACGAACCAAAUUGUGCUGCGAGGCCUCGUGCCCCGAAGGCGUGAUGAGUAUUUGCCUCUCCUCUGUUUCCUUCUGGACAAU
This is a long non-coding RNA of Rhea pennata, 775 nucleotides long. RefSeq lists it as uncharacterized. NCBI's taxonomy places the organism in Eukaryota, Metazoa, Chordata, Aves, Rheiformes, Rheidae. The record is from RefSeq and is a predicted model, not a curated record. The transcript is spliced from 4 exons.